UAGUCCACGCCGUAAACGAUGGAUACUAGCUGUCCGGGGUCUUGAAUCUUGGGCGGCCAAGUGAAAGUGAUAAGUAUCCCACCUGGGGAGUACGUUCGCAAGAAUGAAACUCAAAGGAAUUGACGGGGGCCCGCACAAGCGGUGGAGCAUGUGGUUUAAUUCGAUGAUACGCGAGGAACCUUACCAGGGCUUAAAUGCAUUCUGACAGGCCGGGAGACCGGUUUUCCUUCGGGCAGUCUGCAAGGUGCUGCAUGGUUGUCGUCAGCUCGUGCCGUGAGGUGUCAGGUUAAGUCCUAUAACGAGCGCAACCCCUACCGUUAGUUGCCAGCAUGUCAUGAUGGGGACUCUAACGGGACUGCCGGUGCAAACCGCGAGGAAGGUGGGGACGACGUCAAAUCAUCACGGCCCUUACGUCCUGGGGCCACACACGUGCUACAAUGGGCCGGUACAGCGGGGAAGCCACUGCGCGAGCAGGGAGCGGGAUCCACAAAACCGGGUCAC
Molecule: ribosomal RNA, 501 nt
Filed under: uncultured bacterium
Lineage: Bacteria
Description: bacterial SSU rRNA
Rfam family: Bacterial small subunit ribosomal RNA
Source: RNAcentral